CAUUUUGUAUAUUUCUUAUUACAGUGUGAAAAAAUUACAAAUUAAGGAGUAAAAUUCUGAAUAUAAAAAAAGAGAAAAAAGAAAAAGAUACCCUUUUUUCCACUGAUGAAAUGGACACAUUUGCUUACGAUUAACCCAAUGCUGAUGUGGCAAGAUCAGUGUGGACGCCUCCAUUGUCCCACUUUUAAACGAGAUUCAUAUCUUUUUUUAACUCUAACAUGACCCUACUACCACAAACGGAGAUCAACCACAUCACCACCGUUUAUUUGCAAUACCUUUUCGAAGCUUCAUCAAUGGCGGACCUCAACCUCUCCAACUAUCUCUGGUUCCUCCUCUUACUAUUCCCUCUCACCUUCCUCCUCCUCCUCCUCUACUUCAUAGUCCGACCCCGACCAGUCAGGAUCCCAAUCAAGAAUCGCCACGUGUUCAUCACCGGCGGAUCAAGCGGCAUCGGCCUUGCCUUGGCCCACCGGGCUGCAUCCGAGGGCGCACGCGUCUCCAUCCUCGCCCGCUCCGUCGACAAGCUCGAGGAAGCCAAACAUGCAAUACGACUCGCCACCGGGAUUGACGUCUCCGUGUUCGCCGCCGAUGUGCGAGACUGCGACGCCGUUUGGAAGUCGGUCGAGGAGGCUGGACCCAUCGACGUGUUGAUCGUGAAUCAAGGGGUUUUUGUACCUCAAGAGCUGGAGAAGCAGGGAUUAGAUGAGGUGAGGUUCAUGUUGGACGUGAAUCUGAUGGGCAGCUUCAACGUGAUCAAAGCUGCUUUGCCUGGGAUGAAGAAAAGAGGGAAUCGUGAACCGGCCUCUAUUGCCCUAAUGUCCUCUCAAGCUGGUCAGGUGGGGAUUUACGGUUACACUGCUUACUCAGCGAGCAAAUUUGGGCUUCGGGGUUUAGCAGAAGCUUUGCAACAAGAGGUUAUUGCAGACAAUAUUCAUGUUUCUCUGAUUUUCCCUCCCGAUACAGACACUCCUGGUUUUGAGCAAGAGAACAAGGUACGACCGCCGCUUACCAGCAUAUUAGCUGAAUCUUCUGGGGCAAUGAAACCUGAUGAAGUUGCUAAGAAAGCUUUUAAUGGCAUAAGAUCUGGCAGCUUUAUUGUUCCUUGUAAUUCUGAGGGUCACUUACUGGCUAUAGUAACUGCUGGUUUUUCACCACAGAGAUCAUUUCUAAUGGCUUUCGUUGAGGUAGUUGCAGCUGGGUUAUUGAGGGUUGCGGCUCUAUGUUUCCAGUGGAAUUGGUAUGGAAGCAUAGAGAAGUGGCAUUCACAGAAUAAAUAAAGAGCUCUAGGAUUUUACAUUUCAACAACGGUUUGGACUAGAUGCAUAAGGGACCUGAGGUUGUUGGGUGCUUGAUUUCUUCCCAAUUUUACUCACUUUUGACAUUUGAGUUGCUGCAGUUGCUAGAAAGCAGAUGUGGUGCUGUAAAUGGGUGAUUAGCAUCGGUGUUUCGGGAACCGAACCAUCAUUGAUGUAGGUUUAAGUUGCCCUCUCUCAGGAAGUUAGUAUUUUGAUGGUCCACUGUAAUAAAUUAUUUUACUGUUUAAGAAAUUAUUUGUAAUGGGAAUCUCUAAAGCAAUUUCUGACGUGAAAUUUUCAAAUUUUUACCCUGUAGCAUAAUGAACUCGAAAGUAUGGCUUCACUUGAUUUAUGUGAUUAAAAAACAUUUAUGAAUGAAAAGAAACUGAGUUGUUAGA
RNA transcript from Ziziphus jujuba (common jujube), 1693 nucleotides. It is a transcript of the gene named 3-dehydrosphinganine reductase TSC10A, with no coding region annotated. Lineage: Eukaryota; Viridiplantae; Streptophyta; Magnoliopsida; Rosales; Rhamnaceae. The transcript is spliced from 5 exons. The record is from RefSeq and is a predicted model, not a curated record.